This is a non-coding RNA of Cricetulus griseus (Chinese hamster), 5939 nucleotides long. The record is from RefSeq and is a predicted model, not a curated record. NCBI's taxonomy places the organism in Eukaryota, Metazoa, Chordata, Mammalia, Rodentia, Cricetidae.
GGUUAUUGGAGCUCAGUAUUUACUGUCACCUCUUCUUUCCCCACCCUCUCUGUUCAGGUCUUUGCCUUCACACAGGCCAAGGGGAUGAUCUUUCUAUCCUGCUCGUGAUAUAUUCUGAGCCAGAGGCCUAUGUCCUUGUUAUUCAGAACAGAGCUAUGGAAGAUGAACAAGAAGAUGAACGUCUCUGGUUACAAUACAUGUAAAAGAAAGAAUGGGAUUCUUAACAUGCAUCAAAUGUUCAAACACCUUUCUCAGUAAUUUCUAUAUCUCGUCUCAUUGAUCCUUGGUUACGCUAAUAUUUGGGUUAACAGUCCUCAGGAAGUUCAAUUCUCAAUGUAACCAUAUUUCUUAUAUUAUACUUUUGUGUAUAAAAUAAUUUGUAUCUAAAGAAGUAGGUAUGGGAAUAAGAUGGAAUGAGAUUCUGAGAGUCUUAGGAAAAGCUAUUUAAAUGGGAAAGGAAGGUUAACAAUGUUAGCAACUAUGAACUACAAUUUUACAACAUAAAAGACAAGAUGAAAAUAACUAAGCCAUGCAUAAUUCAUUGAGAACUAGGCCUGGUUCUCAAAUUACAAUGUGAAUGUGAGUCAAUUUUGGAUUUUCAUCAAAUGCCAAUUUCUGGUCAUGGCUCCAAACAUCCUGAAUCAGAAACUAUUGGGAAGGGUGGCCAACAAUGAAUGACAUAAUGUAUUUAAAUGUUAUAAAAAUAGCAAACAACAGAACAAAACAAACAAAAACACAUAGUGAAAUAAAGGCAUACUGAAUUACAAUGGUGAAACUAAAUUUACAGUGUAUUCAUUAGGUAGUGGCCUAAAUAUUAGCUUCUCUGAUACCCUCCUGGACUCUGCCAAGUAGUGGGUGAGACCAGGAGGUAAAGGCCACAGGACCACUAGACUCCAGACCUCUGCUGUCCUCUUAGGACUGAGUGUAGCACUGCUUUGAAGGGCUGUGUGCUCAAGAACUUUAAAGACUAGUAAUGAAGGGAGAAAACCAAGAAUGAGCUUUGGUUUUGUGUUGACGAAAGAAGCAAAUAAAAGUGAGAAGCCUAAUGUUUUCGAACUGUGGUAUAGUUGUUACGCGGAAUAAAAUGCAAGCCAAUUCACUUAAACCUUGGAGCUUUCAUUUUGAUCCUAUCUUAAAAUGCACUGCUGUUAUAGAUUGUACUACUAAAAUAAUUUGAGAAGCGAGGUAGAAUUUACCACUCUAAAACAAUUCAACUUUCUUCAACAUGGUGGAAGUAUUAGGAAGAAUUUCUGAACAAAAAUGUUGAACCUUAGGAUAUGGGGAAAACUCUAUAGGAAGCAAAAGCAAAGAUGGGAAUACACUGAUCCAAUGGUCCAAAAGGAAAUAAAUAAAAUAGUUGAAGAAUGAACUACUGACAUCAGUGGGAAAUACAGAAAAGAUUUUAAUAUGCAGUCUUCAUAUAAUGCUGUUUUAGCCAUACAUAGAAGGAAGAAGCAAUUAUAAAUACCAGAGCUGGCAACAAAUUAGGUCAGCUAUAAGCUCACUUCCUCCCAUUAGAGGAAAGCUAAAUGAGUGGUUCCAGGGGGCAUUAGAUCUAGGACAGCUAAUAUACAGCACUGCAUUUGAUUUAAAGUUCUAAAACCACAGGACAUCACAGUCCUAUUCAUGGUUUAUUGAAUUCCUUGAUUUGUUCCUGUCUUCUAUUACCCCAGGAACUGGAAUACUGGGAGAAGUAAAGAUACAUGAUAGUGAGAAUGUGAGCUAUCUAAAUUGUCUGUUUGUCAAAACAGUCAUAAAACUAGUACUUCUGACAUCUUCAUCAGUCAUGUCAGUGUGGUUCUCCUCAGAUUAGAUUGAGCUUUUUUUUUCAUCACAUGUUCCAGGUAAGUACUCUCCCACUGCACUGGGCUUUAUCCCCAGAUCCCCUUUUGUACUGGUUGUGUAUAUGAGACAGAGUCUCACUGACUUGUCCAGGGAAGCUGUGAACUUACUCGGUAGCCAGGUUAGCCUGAAACGUUCAGUUGUACUACCAGUAAUUAGGAUUCUAGGCCUGCAUGAGCAGAUUUGGGCCAACAGUUGUUAUUUAACAAUCAUUUUUCACUAUUAAUGUUCCAUUUAUUGACUGUUUCUAUUGUUAAAGUAGGUUAAUAGGCACAUGUUUACAAUUGAACAUUUUUAUUAUUGGAGAAGGCAUAUGUGUAUCCGCCAUGGCAUAUGUAUGGAGGUCCAGAGGCUACUUUUUAUGUCAUUUCUCUCCUUCCCACCUUCAUAUGUGUUCCAGGAACCAGACUCAGGUUGUUGGGCAUGGCUGUCACCUUCACCCUCUGAGACAUCAUGCUGACUUUAUAUAUCCUUUUAAACACUAAUAAUUUCAUAGAGAUAUAAGAAGAAAAAUAAUAUAAUUUGUUCUUCACCUUCUAGCUCUUUUCAAGAAAUAUUGAUUUUAAAGGUUUAUUUUUAAGGAAAAUGUAUAUUUUGCAUGUACUAUACACACUGAAUUAUCAUGUAAGUACUCUCUCACAGUUCUAUCUUGACUGACUUGCUUGGGAGAUACACACAUAACCACGUGAAGUCUUAUUUACGUUCAUGAAAUAUUCUAGUAUUGUGGUCACACUAAAUUCUUGUGUACUUAGGCCCAUUAAGUACUUGAAAUGUGACUAGUACAGACUAGGAUAUGUUGUUUUCAAAUUCCACUUAAUACAUUUUUAAUCUAAAGAGGGCAAUGAGCAUUCUCUAAUAGGAUCUUUCACAUUUUCCAAAGGUUCUGUUGGUGAUUUAGGAGAUGGUUCAGUGGAUGAAGCAUUUGCCACAAAAGUGUGAAGCCCUCACUUGAGAUCCCAGAUUCCCCAAGUCAUGUAUCAUCAGAUGCAACAGGAUACAUGGAAAGUCUUCCUAAGUGUCUGAGAGAAGCUUCAUCUUCAGACCUCUGGCAUGUGGGGCUGCUCACCAUGACCACCAUUUUCCCAGAAAGAGCUGAUGUGAGAUACGCUCAAGAGAACAGGAGGCAAAGCCUGUGACUUCCAAUGAAUUCAGACAGAAUUUCUUCCUUUGCUUUGGGCACAGUGUUGUUGAAAAUUAUCUUCAGCUGUUUGCUGAUAUAUGCGGGGCCUUUGUUAAUCCUGGAUAGCUGGCAUUGAGAUACACUAGGCAGCUAAAUUGCUCUAGUAAUUUAACAUUUGGCCAGCAGUUAGACACCUGCUUUUUCAUGACAUUCAUCUAUCUCCCUGUCUCUUUCAUCUCAUUCUCUGUCUUAUUUUUCUUACAGAUUUUCUCCUGGGUUUCCCAUAGGGAACAAGGACUUUGAAUGGCCAAGGAAAAGGAAUUUGAUGACAGGGACUUGUACCUUGUCAAAAAUAGAAGCUAUAUUCUUGUAAGUUUCAGAGUCCACUUACAGACCAAGGGAAGUUACAGUCCAAAUGGAGCUUCUCAGCUGUGCCACAGUAUAGGCCAGAGGAGGGAUGUUCUCCCUGAGCUCAGGGCUCAUACAUAAAAUUCAAGUGUAGCUGUUGACAACAUAAAUUUUGGGUUUUGUCCAAAGGGCUAUCUUAGUUUUAAGCCAUAACGCCAUUCCAUGGCAACUUUGUUGUUUAGAUUUAAUUUUUUUUUCAGCUACAGAGAUGACUCCAUGGUUAAGAGCACUCACUGACUGCUCUUCUGGUGACCAGGGUUUUAAUCACAGCAUUCAUAUAGCACUAGUAACCAUCCAUAUCUUUAGUUCCAGAGGAUCAUCUGCCCUCUUCUGGCCUUCAUAGGCAUUGCGAUCUUGUGGUGCACAGAUAUACCUGUAGGGGAAACAUCCAUAUGCAUAAACUGGAAGUAAAUAAAUCUUAAAAGUUAAUUAUGAGUGUAGGUCCCUGUGGAGUGCAGAAGACAGCUGCACUUCAGGAUCCCUUGAAGCUGAUGUUACAGGUAAUUGCGAGGGCCUGACAUGGGUGUUGGGAGGCCAACUCCAGUUCCCUGGAAGAGCAGGAAGUAAUAGGAACCAGACUGCCAUUUCUCUAGCUCUUCCAAGCCAGUUUUACUUCAUGGGCAAGUUUCUCAUCACAGGAAGGUCCAGUUAGUUACUGAGGCUGUAGCAUAAGGGUAACAAAACCUACAUCACAAAGUAAUUGUAAGAGUUAAAACAACAACAAAAAUUCUAAUGCUAUGAACUGAAGUUGUAACUUGAGAUACAGUUCCUAAAGGGUUGAAGUGAUGACAGCAUUCUUUUCACUGUGGUGUUAGGUCAUUCUUUUAGGCAAGAAUGAUCCUCUGGUUGUUACUUCCCUCAUCCAGCUCCCAUUUUUCUGUUUCUCUAAGAACUCAUGUAUCAGUUCAUUUUUUCAUUGCCGUGUUAAAGCACCAUGGCCAAAGAUGUGAGCUUAUUUUGGCCAAUUGUUCCAGAAGAGUAAGAUUAAAUUAGGGGGCAGGGGAAGCAUGGCAGCAGAUGGCAAGUGUGGUGGCAGGAGCAGGAGGCUUAGAGCUCACAUUCUUAAUUGCAGGUCUGGGGGAGGCAGAAAGGGUGGGAGAAAGGGGGAGAAAGAGAGGACCAACACAAAACAAAACACCACUGUGAGAAGCUAUGGACUCUCAAAGCCAGCUUAAAGUGAUAUACUUUCUCUAUCACAUUCACACCUCCAAGACCUCUAAAAACUACCACCAGCUAGGGACCUAGCUGUUUGAAUGCUUAAGCCUAUGGGGAACAUUUCUCAUGUAAACCACGAUAGUACCAUGUCAUCAUUGGUCUCAGAGUUUGUUUUUAAAAGUGAUAAUAAUGAAAACACUGAGAUUUGAAUGCUUUGUCUAUCGCAGUGAAUUCUUUUAUACCUUGUUGUUUUCUAGUGCAUUAUUCUGAACAUUUCAAAAGUAUAAGCAAUUUGAAAGACUUAUAUACCAAGUCUUCAUUCCCAUCCAAAAGUCUUCUGUUAAUAUUUACCCUACUUGCUUCGUCAUUUUACCUGGCAAUCCAUCUGUCCCUGUAAGUGGUCAUCAAUCAAUUCUUUGAACAAUUCAAAAUAAGUCAUAGAUACUAGCAAAAUUUCCCAUAAGUAUGUCAGUAUAUAUAACAUUAAAUGUAACUCAAUAUUUUACAAUGCUAUUCUUUAGACAAAUCAGGAAAACAUACAGUUCGGAGUAUUUACAAAUGGUUCAUACCUGUGCAAGACCUCUCCUAGUCUUCCUUCCUCAGCCUAUAUAUUCUAGCCUCUCCUUGAGACCAAGUGCAUCAAGGCAGCUUGCAUACAUCAGGUGGUAGGAGAAGCUGGAUAUUUGGGGUGGGGGAAUAAGGGUGUGGAGGGGUGGAUGGUGGUCUUGUGACAUCAUUCCAGAAAGUUCCUUCCAAAGCUUCCAAAUCAUGUGCUUAUUUUCACAGGCCAGAUGGUUAGUCCCUCAGGGAUUAGUUCUAGAAACUGUUGUCAGUGGAACCCAUAUGAUAUGUGUUUUUUUUUUAAAUGAUUCUUUAAAAAGCACAAAGCUUCCAAAUAUAUUUUUCUUGUCACUGAAUGUUAUUGCACUGUAUAUUAAUACCCCACACUUUAAAAACUUUUCAUUAAUAGACACAUAAGUUGCUUCAAGUUUAUGGCUAGUAUAGAAAAUCUACUAUGAACUUUCUCCUCUGAGAAUUUAUUUGUGAAUGAUUGUAUAUCUCUUAGUUAAUACAUAUAUAUAUAUUAUGUAUAUAUAAUUUAUGUGAAUUCCUUUUGUUUACAACCUCUUCAACAAUUGGAGCUGUUUGUCUUUUUAACCCACCUAUUUUGAUGAAUGUGCUAUUAUCUCGUUUUCAAAUGCAUUUAUGAAGAGUAGUUAUACUGGUAAUCUCUAUGUAACUGACCAUUGUUCUUUUCUCUCAGAGUUUUGUAUACUUGGAAAUUACUUGACUGUCACCACUACAGGGAUCCCUCAUUUUUUGAGAUUUACUUUGUUAGAUAUGCAUUGUGAAUAUUUUCUCUCAGUCUCUUAUUUACUUGAGUUUUUUAAAUAAAAAUAGGAUUUUGAUGAAA